This 2313-nucleotide ribosomal RNA is filed under the name Escherichia coli. RNAcentral describes it as "partial 23S ribosomal RNA". It matches the Rfam family "Bacterial large subunit ribosomal RNA", at positions 552 to 2843 of the family's 2925-position model. The record is from RNAcentral. Lineage: Bacteria; Pseudomonadati; Pseudomonadota; Gammaproteobacteria; Enterobacterales; Enterobacteriaceae.
GAAACCGUGUACGUACAAGCAGUGGGAGCACAGAGCAAUCUGUGUGACUGCGUACCUUUUGUAUAAUGGGUCAGCGACUUAUAUUCUGUAGCAAGGUUAACCGAAUAGGGGAGCCGAAGGGAAACCGAGUCUUAACUGGGCGUUAAGUUGCAGGGUAUAGACCCGAAACCCGGUGAUCUAGCCAUGGGCAGGUUGAAGGUUGGGUAACACUAACUGGAGGACCGAACCGACUAAUGUUGAAAAAUUAGCGGAUGACUUGUGGCUGGGGGUGAAAGGCCAAUCAAACCGGGAGAUAGCUGGUUCUCCCCGAAAGCUAUUUAGGUAGCGCCUCGUGAAUUCAUCUCCGGGGGUAGAGCACUGUUUCGGCAAGGGGGUCAUCCCGACUUACCAACCCGAUGCAAACUGCGAAUACCGGAGAAUGUUAUCACGGGAGACACACGGCGGGUGCUAACGUCCGUCGUGAAGAGGGAAACAACCCAGACCGCCAGCUAAGGUCCCAAAGUCAUGGUUAAGUGGGAAACGAUGUGGGAAGGCCCAGACAGCCAGGAUGUUGGCUUAGAAGCAGCCAUCAUUUAAAGAAAGCGUAAUAGCUCACUGGUCGAGUCGGCCUGCGCGGAAGAUGUAACGGGGCUAAACCAUGCACCGAAGCUGCGGCAGCGACGCUGAUGCGUUGUUGGGUAGGGGAGCGUUCUGUAAGCCUGUGAAGGUGUGCUGUGAGGCAUGCUGGAGGUAUCAGAAGUGCGAAUGCUGACAUAAGUAACGAUAAAGCGGGUGAAAAGCCCGCUCGCCGGAAGACCAAGGGUUCCUGUCCAACGUUAAUCGGGGCAGGGUGAGUCGACCCCUAAGGCGAGGCCGAAAGGCGUAGUCGAUGGGAAACAGGUUAAUAUUCCUGUACUUGGUGUUACUGCGAAGGGGGGACGGAGAAGGCUAUGUUGGCCGGGCGACGGUUGUCCCGGUUUAAGCGUGUAGGCUGGUUUUCCAGGCAAAUCCGGAAAACUAAGGCUGAGGCGUGAUGACGAGGCACUACGGUGCUGAAGCAACAAAUGCCCUGCUUCCAGGAAAAGCCUCUAAGCAUCAGGUAACAUCAAAUCGUACCCCAAACCGACACAGGUGGUCAGGUAGAGAAUACCAAGGCGCUUGAGAGAACUCGGGUGAAGGAACUAGGCAAAAUGGUGCCGUAACUUCGGGAGAAGGCACGCUGAUAUGUAGGUGAAGUCCCUCGCGGAUGGAGCUGAAAUCAGUCGAAGAUACCAGCUGGCUGCAACUGUUUAUUAAAAACACAGCACUGUGCAAACACGAAAGUGGACGUAUACGGUGUGACGCCUGCCCGGUGCCGGAAGGUUAAUUGAUGGGGUCAGCGCAAGCGAAGCUCUUGAUCGAAGCCCCGGUAAACGGCGGCCGUAACUAUAACGGUCCUAAGGUAGCGAAAUUCCUUGUCGGGUAAGUUCCGACCUGCACGAAUGGCGUAAUGAUGGCCAGGCUGUCUCCACCCGAGACUCAGUGAAAUUGAACUCGCUGUGAAGAUGCAGUGUACCCGCGGCAAGACGGAAAGACCCCGUGAACCUUUACUAUAGCUUGACACUGAACAUUGAGCCUUGAUGUGUAGGAUAGGUGGGAGGCUUUGAAGUGUGGACGCCAGUCUGCAUGGAGCCGACCUUGAAAUACCACCCUUUAAUGUUUGAUGUUCUAACGUUGACCCGUAAUCCGGGUUGCGGACAGUGUCUGGUGGGUAGUUUGACUGGGGCGGUCUCCUCCUAAAGAGUAACGGAGGAGCACGAAGGUUGGCUAAUCCUGGUCGGACAUCAGGAGGUUAGUGCAAUGGCAUAAGCCAGCUUGACUGCGAGCGUGACGGCGCGAGCAGGUGCGAAAGCAGGUCAUAGUGAUCCGGUGGUUCUGAAUGGAAGGGCCAUCGCUCAACGGAUAAAAGGUACUCCGGGGAUAACAGGCUGAUACCGCCCAAGAGUUCAUAUCGACGGCGGUGUUUGGCACCUCGAUGUCGGCUCAUCACAUCCUGGGGCUGAAGUAGGUCCCAAGGGUAUGGCUGUUCGCCAUUUAAAGUGGUACGCGAGCUGGGUUUAGAACGUCGUGAGACAGUUCGGUCCCUAUCUGCCGUGGGCGCUGGAGAACUGAGGGGGGCUGCUCCUAGUACGAGAGGACCGGAGUGGACGCAUCACUGGUGUUCGGGUUGUCAUGCCAAUGGCACUGCCCGGUAGCUAAAUGCGGAAGAGAUAAGUGCUGAAAGCAUCUAAGCACGAAACUUGCCCCGAGAUGAGUUCUCCCUGACUCCUUGAGAGUCCUGAAGGAACGUUGAAG